RNAcentral lists this ribosomal RNA (2755 nucleotides) under Triticum aestivum (bread wheat). RNAcentral's name for it is "partial small subunit ribosomal RNA". Lineage: Eukaryota; Viridiplantae; Streptophyta; Magnoliopsida; Poales; Poaceae. The record is from RNAcentral.
GCUAUCCCUGUCCAACAGAGGGAUAGCCCAGCAUCCAAACGCAUCCUAACGCACGAAACGCAUCCCAGCCCAAACGCCACGAGCACGCACGCCGCCGCCCAGUGUCUGCGCUCCGCCGGCGCCGUCCCCCCUUUCCCGGCCUUCCCCCGCCCCGGUCAACAUCUCCCGCGUAGCCUGGCCGUGCCGCACUACUGCGGUGCGCCGUGCGCCCCCUGCUGGCCCCGGCCAGCCGGCCUCCCUCCGCGGCGGCGACGAGCAGAGCAGCCAACGUGGCGACGGCGGGCCCCCUCCUGUGCGCUCCGGCCCCGUGCUUCUGCCGCCGCCGGCUGUGUGGCCUGCUUCUGCCUACUGCCGCCGCGGCGCCCCUCCUCUCGCUGAAAUAGAAGUUGGUGUUUGCUUCAAUCCUGGCUUCAUCACUGGCUCCCAUCUCAGUAUCCCACCAUGCUCUUCAGUCGGAAGCUUCUCCCAUGGCCGUGCCCAAGACAGUCACAAGCCCAGGCUCUGCUCUGCCGCCCAUUUUCCGCCUUCUACCCAACCAACCCCGACGAUGACGACCCUCCGUUUACACGGAUCCCCAAAACCCCACCUCGAGCUUCGGCGCCGGCGCCGCCACCGCCGAAGCCCAAAGACCAGCCUGCCAAGAUCAGCCCCGACGAGCCGGCACACUCCGACCUUCCCUUCGACUUCCGGUACUCGUACUCGGAGACUGACCCGACCUGGAGGCCCAUUGGGUUCCGCGAGCCAACCCGGUUUUCGCCCUUCGGCCCCGGCCGCCUUGACCGGCCUUGGGACGGCGUCGUCGCCGCCGCCGUGCGCGCCGAAGGGAACAGAGAGGAUGUUUGUGGCGGUCCGAGUCGUAGGGAUGAGGUGCUUGGCGAGGCACUGUCGGAAGCGGAGGUGGCAGAGCUCGUGGAGAGGUACCGGCACAGCGACUGCUCCCGGCAGAUCAAUUUGGGGAAAGAUGGUGUAACUCAUAAUAUGCUCGAUGACAUCCACAACCACUGGAGACGUGCAGAAGCAGUCAGAAUCAAAUGUCUUGGGGUUGCAACUCUUGACAUGGACAAUAUAUGCUUCCAUCUUGAGGAUAAAACAGGUGGGAGAAUCAUAUACCGUAGCAUAAAUAUACUCAUCCUAUAUCGUGGCCGGAACUAUGAUCCAAAACAACGGCCUGUCAUACCAUUGAUGUUGUGGAAGCCAUUGGCUCCUAUUUAUCCUAAGGUUGUCCAAAAUGUUGCUGAAGGGUUGACUUUUGAGGAAACAAAAGAAAUGAGAAACAAAGGAUUACAUUCGCCACCGCUUAUGAAACUGACUAGGAAUGGUGUUUAUGUUAAUGUUGUUGACAAAGUGAGAGAGGCCUUUAAGACUUUGGAAGUUGUGAGACUAGAUUGCUCUCAUUGCGGUACUAGUGAUUGCAAAAAAAUUGGUGUGAAGCUGAGGGUAUGUUGUAACUUUCUAAUGCUCUCUAUGAAUUAAUCCCAUCAGUCUUGCAUUCAUAUGGAAGAACAAUGAAACUGGAAAGAAUUUGAAUAAAAGCUCUAAUCAAACAGGUGUGCUGGUGUAGUAGUUAACUUGCAGUUGAGAUAUAACGACCCUCCUGCAGUUUGCAGUUCGCUCGUCAUAUAUGCAGCUAAAGUAUAUUAUGCCUUAGAACUUGCUUAUAAUUUCAGACAGAAGACAUCUCCUUUGCAACACAACAGUAAGAAACACUGGAGAGUUUACGAUAGAAACUAGACACUCCUUUAUCUCUUGCAAACAUAGCACUUGGAAUGCUUUAUUUAACUUUGUUGUUUCUUUCCUUUGGUUUCAUAGGAUUUGGUUCCAUGCAUCCCUAUACUAUUUAAAGAUGAACAAAUUAUUCUCUGGAGAGGGAAGCGGGACCAGGAGGACUCUGUUUCAGCUCAUUGUGCUUCUUGGCCACAGUGAUGCAAGUGCUUGUAAUCUACUCCCUCCGUUCCUAAAUAGAUGACUCAACUUUGUACUAACUUUAGUAUAAAGUUGAGUCAUCUAUUUUGGAACGGAGGGAGUACAACCCUAUACUCAGAGUAGCAGCUAGCUGAAGCAGGCCUGCUUUUUGGGUUACUUCUGUGAGUUGCAUGAGAUGUGUUCACUGGAGUAUAAGGAUCUGCAGUCUACAAGAAAUGGUCUAAUUGUUUGUCAGCAUUUCUUGGCUGCUGUUUGAAGUAAUUUUAUCUUGAGAGCAUGUGGACCUUACAACCAGAAAGUGGGUUUCUUUCUGGGUGAAGAGAAAGACAAUUUCUAAGAGCAUCUCCAGCAGCCGCGCUGGAAAAAUACAGAUUUUUGCGCGCGCAGCCGCUCCGGGCGCUCCAGCGGAGGGCGAGACGGCAUCGCGCGCCGCUUAUUUCGUGCGCCCACUUCCGCGCGCUACACACUCGAGCGCCCUCGCCGCACCCUCGCCACCGAGCCGCUUUCGGCCCGCCCGAGCUGCCUCCGGCGAAUUCACCCGAUGGACGGCCGCGCUGACAUCCCCUUCACCUCUUCCUACACCCGCGACCCCUCCUUGCUUCGAAGCGAUUGCUACGGUCAGCAGCUCUUCCAGCUGAGGGAUUCAUCUUCAGUUUUCGGUCCUCUAGGUUUCGCCCUCCGCAGUUUUGGAAGUGCCGGCUUGUUUCUGUUGCUUCAUCUGCCUGAUUCAGGAUCGAUGCUCGAGAUUGAGACGCCAAAAAGCAGAAUUUGUACAGACAUGUGAUUCACAUCCAUGCCAUUUGAAUCAAGAGCAGAUGGUCUGAGCCUCAAA